CUUCCUACCGAUGGGCUCGCGUUAUUAUAGUGCGGAGAAGCGGUACAUCUGCACGUCAAAGGAGCGGAGAGAGGGAGAGAUGGGAAAGAAGGCCAUGGCUCCGGCGGCGGUGGCGGCGCUGCUGCUGUGUUUCGGGAUCGCCGGAGUCGUAUCGGACGCCUCCGACCACCGCUACAAGCCUGACGAUCCGGUCCCUCUCUACGCCAACAAGGUUGGCCCCUUCCACAACCCUAGCGAGACCUAUCGGUACUUUGAUCUCCCCUUCUGCACCCCAGAGCAUCUAACUGAGAAAAAAGAAGACCUUGGUGAAGUUUUGAAUGGGGACCGCCUUGUUGUUGCCCCAUACAAACUUGAUUUUCGUGUGGAUCAAGAUUCCCAAGUGGUCUGCAAGAAACAUCUCACAAAGGAAGAUGCAGCCAAGUUCAGGAAUGCAGUCAUGAAGGAUUACUAUUUUCAGAUGUAUUAUGAUGACCUCCCUAUUUGGGGAUUCAUUGGGAAGGUUGACAAGGAAGGAAAGGACCCAAGUGAGUACAAGUACUUCCUUUACAAGCAUAUCCACUUUGACAUUCUCUACAACAAUGACCGUGUGAUCGAGAUUAAUGUCCAUACGGAUCCCAAUGCACUGGUGGAUGUUACGGAGGACAGGGACAUUGAUGUAGAGUUUCUAUAUUCUGUGAAGUGGAAAAGAGACAACCACACCCUUUAGCAAGAGAAUGGAUAAGUACUCGCAGUCCUCUUCGCAGCCACACCACUUGGAGAUACAUUGGUUCUCAAUAAUAAAUUCAUGCGUCACAGUUCUUCUCUUGACCGGCUUUCUUGCCACAAUUCUCAUGCGAGUUUUGAAGAAUGAUUUCGUCAAGUAUGCUCAUGACGAGGAGUCAGCUGAUGACCAAGAAGAGACUGGGUGGAAAUAUAUCCAUGGGGAUGUCUUUAGGUUUCCAAAGAACAAUUCACUUUUUGCUGCUUGUCUUGGUGCUGGCACUCAGUUAUUUGCUCUCACGGUUUUUAUUUUUAUUCUUGCACUGGUUGGGGUAUUCUACCCCUACAAUCGUGGAGCUCUUUUUACUGCUCUGGUGGUCAUCUACGCACUUACUUCAGGCGUUGCUGGUUACACUGCUACCUCUUUCUAUUGUCAGCUUGAAGGGACAAACUGGGUGAGGAAUUUGCUUUUGACAGGAUGCCUGUUCUGUGGGCCUCUCUUCCUGAUGUUUUGCUUCCUGAAUACUGUUGCCAUUGUUUAUAGUGCUACUGCAGCAUUACCAUUCGGCACUAUUGUUGUUAUUGCUCUCAUAUGGACACUGGUAACUGCUCCUUUGCUUGUUUUGGGUGGAAUUGCUGGUAAAAACAGCAGGACAGAGUUCCAAGCUCCUUGUCGUACCACCAAGUAUCCUAGAGAGAUUCCACCCUUGCCAUGGUAUCGAGGAACUAUCCCACAGAUGGCAAUGGCUGGGUUUCUGCCUUUCAGUGCCAUCUACAUCGAACUUUACUACAUAUUUGCCAGUGUGUGGGGCCACAGGAUUUACACCAUAUAUAGCAUUCUCUUUAUAGUUUUCCUCAUUCUCCUCAUUGUCACUGCUUUCAUUACCAUAGCAUUGACCUACUUUCAGUUGGCUGCUGAAGAUCAUGAAUGGUGGUGGAGGUCAUUCCUUUGUGGAGGAUCAACUGGGUUAUUUAUUUACGGAUACUGCUUGUACUACUACCAUGCUCGCUCAGAUAUGUCAGGUUUCCUGCAAACUUCUUUCUUCUUUGGGUAUAUGGCGUGCAUCUGCUAUGGUUUCUUCUUAAUGCUUGGGAUGGUGGGCUUCCGUGCUGCCUUGCUGUUUGUCCGUCACAUAUACCGGUCCAUCAAGUGCGAGUAGCCAAUUCCAGAUUGAGAUCAGAUACAUAUGCCUCUUUUUGGUCGUGUAAGCUUUGCUUAUGGAGAAAGAAAGGCAUAUUUGAUGUGUGAAAGGCUGAAUUUACAUGCAGAUUGGAAGCAGCAGCAGCAGCAACAGUUUAAGUAGGAUCAUUAUUUCUAGGGAUAGGUACUUGAGGCUAUGAAUCAUUUUUUUUUGGUGGGAUAGCCCUUUGGUCAGUUCUUUGUCCUGCUUCCUUAUCUCUCUAGUAUCUUGCUAGAAAGUUUGUAUCCAUACAAGUACCUGCACAUUUCCCCAUAGAAGUCGUGGUUUUCUAUACAUAGUGAUGAACUUAUAUUUGCAUGGUUUGUUCUGUUUGAUAUACUAGCUACUAGUUACAUUUCAAAGCUAUUCGAUGAGAAUCUUAUAGAUGGGUCUGUCAAUUUAGA
Phoenix dactylifera (date palm) is the source of this 2284-nucleotide non-coding RNA. NCBI's taxonomy places the organism in Eukaryota, Viridiplantae, Streptophyta, Magnoliopsida, Arecales, Arecaceae. The record is from RefSeq and is a predicted model, not a curated record.